Non-coding RNA from Prunus avium (sweet cherry), 436 nucleotides. The record is from RefSeq and is a predicted model, not a curated record. NCBI's taxonomy places the organism in Eukaryota, Viridiplantae, Streptophyta, Magnoliopsida, Rosales, Rosaceae.
GUUUCUUUUUGUGUUUUCAGAUCAUGAACGACCGUGAGACGGGAGGUCCAGGGGCUUCGGCUUCGUCACCUUCAACAACGAGAAUGCCAUGAAGGAUUCGAUUGAAGGCAUGAACGGCCAAAACCUCGACGGCCGUAACAUCACCGUCAACGAGGUCUAGUCUCGUGGAAGCGUUAGGCGUUUUCUAAUGCGUCUCGACUUCAACUCCUUCUUUGAGUUCUAUUUAUUUUUGUAGCUAGAGAUCCUUGAUUGCUGAUUGUGAUGAUAGCUUGGAGCAGAAGAGCUCCAUAUAAAUUGAUGGCCAAUAAUUCACUAGGGAAUCAAAAGGUAUUUAUCAUCUUUAAUUUCACGAUCCUUCUUGGACAUUGGCUCUUUAUCAAGGAUACUGGACAGCAUAAUGAAACUUUGCCUUCAGUUUUGCUGAAACAUUGAGAAC